Molecule: ribosomal RNA, 468 nt
Filed under: uncultured bacterium
Lineage: Bacteria
Description: partial 16S ribosomal RNA
Rfam family: Bacterial small subunit ribosomal RNA
Source: RNAcentral
GACGAACGCUGGCGGCGUGCUUAACACAUGCAAGUCGAACGGAAAGGCCCUGCUUUUGUUGGGUGCUCGAGUUGCGAACGGGUGAGUCACACGUGAGUAACCUGCCCUUUACUUUGGGAUAACUUCUGGAAACUUGGGCUAAUACCGGAUAUUAGCUCCUGCUGCAUGGUGUGGUUUGGAAAGUUUCGGCGGUUGGGGAUGGACUCGCGGCUUAUCAGCUUGUUGGUGGGGUAGUGGCUUACCAAGGCUUUGACGGGUAGCCGGCCUGAGAGGGUGACCGGCCACAUUGGGAAUGAGAGACGGCCCAGACUCCUACGGGAGGAAGCAGUGGGGAAUAGUGCACAAUGGGCGGAAGCCUGAUGCAGCAACGCCGCGUGCGGGAUGACGGACUUCGGGUUGUAAACAGCUUUCGACUGGGAUGAAGCGGGAGUGACGGUAAUGGGAAAAGAAGCACCGGCUAACUACGUG